Small nuclear RNA from Solanum verrucosum, 104 nucleotides. NCBI's taxonomy places the organism in Eukaryota, Viridiplantae, Streptophyta, Magnoliopsida, Solanales, Solanaceae. The record is from RefSeq and is a predicted model, not a curated record.
CGUCCCUUCGGGGCAAUUCGAUAAAAUUGGAACAAUACAGAGAAGAUUAGCAUAGUCCCUGCGCAAGGAUGGCACGCACAAAUCAAGAAAUGGUCCAAAUUUUU